This 490-nucleotide ribosomal RNA is filed under the name uncultured bacterium. RNAcentral describes it as "partial 16S ribosomal RNA". It matches the Rfam family "Bacterial small subunit ribosomal RNA", at positions 29 to 505 of the family's 1533-position model. The record is from RNAcentral.
AGUGAACGCUGGCGGUAGGCCUAACACAUGCAAGUCGAACGGCAGCACAGUAAGAGCUUGCUCUUACGGGUGGCGAGUGGCGGACGGGUGAGGAAUACAUCGGAAUCUACUUUUUCGUGGGGGAUAACGUAGGGAAACUUACGCUAAUACCGCAUACGACCUACGGGUGAAAGCAGGGGAUCUUCGGACCUUGCGCGAUUGAAUGAGCCGAUGUCGGAUUAGCUAGUUGGCGGGGUAAAGGCCCACCAAGGCGACGAUCCGUAGCUGGUCUGAGAGGAUGAUCAGCCACACUGGAACUGAGACACGGUCCAGACUCCUACGGGAGGCAGCAGUGGGGAAUAUUGGACAAGGGGCGCAAGCCUGAUCCAGCCAUACCGCGUGGGUGAAGAAGGCCUUCGGGUUGUAAAGCCCUUUUGUUGGGAAAGAAAAGCAGCAGGUUAAUACCCCGCUGUUCUGACGGUACCCAAAGAAUAAGCACCGGCUAACUUCG